CCCCCACGCCGGAAGACCAAGGUUUCCUGUCCCAUGCUAAUCAGGGCAGGGUAAGUCGGCCCCUAAGGCGAGGCGGAAACGCGUAGUCGAUGGGAAACGGAUUAAUAUUUCCGUACUUGUUAUAUCAGUGAAGGGGGGACGGAGAAGGUUAUGCUAGCUUGGCGUUGGUAGUCCAAGUGAAAGUGCGUAGGGUUGGUGUUUAGGAAAAUCCGGACACCACAUUUAAAAGAUGAGCCUGAGACACGAGACGAGACUCUACGGAGUUGAAGUAGCAAAUACCCUGCUUCCAGGAAAAGCCUCUAAACUUAUGAUAUAGCGAACCGUACCCCAAACCGACACAGGUGGUCAGGUAGAGAAUACUAAGGCGCUUGAGAGAACUCGGGUGAAGGAACUCGGCAAAAUUGUACCGUAACUUCGGGAGAAGGUACGCCCUUGCUUGUGUAGUGCUUCGCGCAUGAAGCAGGUGAGGGCCGCAGUGACCAGGAGGCUGGGACUGUUUAUUAAAAACACAGCACUGUGCUAAAUCGAAAGAUGACGUAUACGGUGUGACACCUGCCCGGUGCCGGAAGGUUAAUUGAUGGGGUUAGCGCAAGCGAAGCUCUUGAUCGAAGCCCCGGUAAACGGCGGCCGUAACUAUAACGGUCCUAAGGUAGCGAAAUUCCUUGUCGGGUAAGUUCCGACCUGCACGAAUGGUGUAACCAUGGCCUCGCUGUCUCCACCCGAGACUCAGUGAAAUUGAAAUUGCAGUGAAGAUGCUGUGUACCCGCACCUAGACGGAAAGACCCCGUGAACCUUUACUACAGCUUGGCACUGAACAUUGACCCUACAUGUGUAGGAUAGGUGGGAGACUAAGAAGCAUUGUCGCCAGAUGAUGUGGAGUCUACCUUGAAAUACCACCCUUGUAUGUUCGAUGUUCUAACAUUGCGCCCUUAUCGGGCGUGUGGACAGUGUCUGGUGGGUAGUUUGACUGGGGCGGUCUCCUCCCAAAGCGUAACGGAGGAGCACGAAGGUUGGCUAAUCCUGGUCGGACAUCAGGAGGUUAGUGCAAUGGCAUAAGCCAGCUUAACUGCGAGACAGACACGUCGAGCAGGUACGAAAGUAGGUCAUAGUGAUCCGGUGGUUCUGAAUGGAAGGGCCAUCGCUCAACGGAUAAAAGGUACUCCGGGGAUAACAGGCUGAUACCGCCCAAGAGUUCAUAUCGACGGCGGUGUUUGGCACCUCGAUGUCGGCUCAUCACAUCCUGGGGCUGAAGUCGGUCCCAAGGGUAUGGCUGUUCGCCAUUUAAAGUGGUACGCGAGCUGGGUUUAGAACGUCGUGAGACAGUUCGGUCCCUAUCUGGUGUGGGCGUUGGAUGAUUGAUGGGAGCUGCUCCUAGUACGAGAGGACCGGAGUGGACGAACCGCUGGUGUUCGGGUUGUCAUGCCAAUGGCAUUGCCCGGUAGCUACGUUCGGAAUCGAUAACCGCUGAAAGCAUCUAAGCGGGAAGCGAGCCCAGAGAUGAGUCAUCCCAGACAGUUUAACUGUCCU
This 1527-nucleotide ribosomal RNA is filed under the name Brumicola pallidula DSM 14239 = ACAM 615. RNAcentral describes it as "bacterial LSU rRNA". It matches the Rfam family "Bacterial large subunit ribosomal RNA", at positions 1329 to 2829 of the family's 2925-position model. Lineage: Bacteria; Pseudomonadati; Pseudomonadota; Gammaproteobacteria; Alteromonadales; Alteromonadaceae. The record is from RNAcentral.